Molecule: regulatory RNA element, 135 nt
Organism: Kurthia sp. 11kri321
Lineage: Bacteria; Bacillati; Bacillota; Bacilli; Caryophanales; Caryophanaceae
Rfam family: PyrR binding site
About the family: This family represents the PyrR binding site and terminator structure.
Source: Rfam
AUAACCUUUUAAAGAUUGCCCAGAGAGGCAAAGAAGGGUGCUGUGAUUUGUACGGAAGUAGUCUAUACACUACCUCUCUACCUUAUCAUACCCAUCUUAAGCCUCCCUAACCAAAUUUAGGGAGGCUUUUCUUAU